This 253-nucleotide ribosomal RNA is filed under the name uncultured bacterium. Its description in RNAcentral is "partial 16S ribosomal RNA". It matches the Rfam family "Bacterial small subunit ribosomal RNA", at positions 524 to 776 of the family's 1533-position model. The record is from RNAcentral.
UACGUAGGGUGCGAGCGUUAAUCGGAAUUACUGGGCGUAAAGCGUGCGCAGGCGGUUCGUUAAGUUCGUCGUGAAAGCCCCGGGCUCAACCUGGGAAUGGCGAUGGAAACUGGCGGGCUGGAGUGCGGCAGAGGGGGGUGGAAUUCCACGUGUAGCAGUGAAAUGCGUAGAGAUGUGGAGGAACGCCGAUGGCGAAGGCAGCCCCCUGGGCCGACACUGACGCUCAGGCACGAAAGCGUGGGGAGCAAACAGG